ACUCCUACGGGAGGCAGCAGUGGGGAAUAUUGCACAAUGGGGAAACCCUGAUGCAGCCAUGCCGCGUGUGUGAAGAAGGCCUUCGGUUGUAAAGCACUUCAGUAGGGAGGAAGGUAGUGUAGUUAACACCUGCAUUAUUUGACGUUACCUACAGAAGAAGCACCGGCUAACUCCGUGCCAGCAGCCGCGGUAAUACGGAGGGGUGCGAGCGUUAAUCGGAAUUACUGGGCGUAAAGCGCAUGCAGGCGGCCUGUUAAGUCAGAUGUGAAAGCCCGGGGGCUUAACCUCGGAAUUGCAUUUGAAACUGGCAGGCUAGAGUCUUGUAGAGGGGGUAGAAUUUCAGGUGUAGCGGUGAAAUGCGUAGAGAUCUGAAGGAAUACCAGUGGCGAAGGCGGCCCCCUGGACAAAGACUGACGCUCAGAUGCGAAAGCGUGGGGAGCGAAACAGGAUUAGAUACCCUGGUAGACUGUCAA
RNAcentral lists this ribosomal RNA (473 nucleotides) under uncultured bacterium. RNAcentral describes it as "bacterial SSU rRNA". It matches the Rfam family "Bacterial small subunit ribosomal RNA", at positions 335 to 802 of the family's 1533-position model. The record is from RNAcentral.